AAACAUAACCUUUAGCCAAACAAAUAUUAAAGGCAACGCCUGCCCAGUGAACAAUUAAACGGCCGCGGUACCCUAACCGUGCAAAGGUAGCGUAAUCAUUUGUCUACUAAUUAUAGACCUGUAUGAAAGGCAAAAUGAGGGCCCGACUGUCUCUUAUAAUCAAUCAAUUAAACUGAUCUCCUAGUAAAAAAGCUAGAAUCCCAACAUAAGACCAGAAGACCCUGUGAAGCUUAAACUAAAUUAUUAAACCAAAUAAUAACUACUUUCGGUUGGGGCGACCUUGGAACAAAAAAGAACUUCCAAAUACAAUGAUCUAAUCAUACCAAAAGGCCCACCAGCCUCUAAAUGACCCAGUCAAAGCUGAUAAAUGAACCAAGUUACUCCAGGGAUAACAGCGCAAUCUUCUUCAAGAGCCCAUAUCAAAAAGAAGGUUUACGACCUCGAUGUUGGAUCAGGACAUCCUAAUGGUGCAGCCGCUAUUAAGGGUUCGUUUGUUCAACGAUUAACAGUCCUACGUGAUC
RNAcentral lists this ribosomal RNA (521 nucleotides) under Salvadora hexalepis (western patchnose snake). RNAcentral's name for it is "partial 16S ribosomal RNA". It matches the Rfam family "Bacterial large subunit ribosomal RNA", at positions 1811 to 2605 of the family's 2925-position model. The record is from RNAcentral. Lineage: Eukaryota; Metazoa; Chordata; Lepidosauria; Squamata; Colubridae.